Molecule: ribosomal RNA, 429 nt
Filed under: Bacteroidota bacterium
Lineage: Bacteria; Pseudomonadati; Bacteroidota
Description: Bacteroidetes bacterium partial 16S ribosomal RNA
Rfam family: Bacterial small subunit ribosomal RNA
Source: RNAcentral
UAGGGAAUCUUCGGCAAUGGGGGGAACCCUGACCGAGCAACGCCGCGUGAGUGAAGAAGGUUUUCGGAUCGUAAAGCUCUGUUGUUAAGGAAGAACGAGUGUGAGAAUGGAAAGUUCAUACUGUGACGGUACUUAACCAGAAAGGGACGGCUAACUACGUGCCAGCAGCCGCGGUAAUACGUAGGUCCCGAGCGUUGUCCGGAUUUAUUGGGCGUAAAGCGAGCGCAGGCGGUUAGAAAAGUCUGAAGUGAAAGGCAGUGGCUCAACCAUUGUAGGCUUUGGAAACUGUUUAACUUUAGUGCAGAAGGGGAGAGUGGAAUUCCAUGUGUAGCGGUGAAAUGCGUAGAUAUAUGGAGGAACACCGGUGGCGAAAGCGGCUCUCUGGUCUGUAACUGACGCUGAGGCUCGAAAGCGUGGGGAGCGAACAGG